CUUCCGGUUUCUGCCUGGGCAUCUCCGUGAUGGGAGCUCACAUCCUGAUCUUCAUUUUCAGUGGAUUCUCCUUCUUUUGAGGAGAAUGAAUGAUAUCCAGGAACACGUGGGAGCAGUAGAGGCAGCUCCUUGGCCCAGCCAAAAACAGGUGCCAGGUGGAAUUUGUCUGUGUUUGUGUAAAGCCAAUGCGGCAGGAGAACUGGAAGGUUCCCGGGAAGCAUUCGCUGCACUGGGCAUUUCAAACCACGGAACCUUUGGAAGAUGACAAGUGAAUGGACUGAAUUCUGAUGGCCAACGUCCUCUGUAAGUCCUGGAGCACAUCCUGGCCGGUCCCUUCACCAUUUUUGUCAUACAGGAGCUGCUUGAAUGCUUCGUUUUCAAUGAGGACCAUCAUGUUUUUGAGAAAGUAGCCUUCGCAAUAUGCUGAGAGUUCCGUGACGCCAAGAAACUGUGGAGAAUGGAGAGGAAAUGGGAGAUGGUUAUGCUUCUGAAAAGCACCUUUCAGAUUAUGCCUUCAGAGCUAAUAAUGGCACACACCUGCUAAGGAAGACUGGCUGCAGAAUGUCUGUGAUUCCCCAGCACACACCCAUAGGGUGUGACUUUGCAGCUCAUCCUGUCAAAGGGCUGGAGUCCAUUCCUCCAUUCCUUGGCCUCGUGCCAAUCAAAUCACUUCUCUGGGCCUCAGGUUUCCAAGUUACAAAAGCAAGGGGUGGCCUACAGGGGUAUUGUGCUCUGCUGUGCCAUUUAGGACAGGGAUGCAUGCAGUAAUUCUGUGGUCUCCAAGAGGCUUAUAAAGCUUGAGGAAGUUUAUCAGUGAGUGGACUAGUUAUCCCACAAAUGUCCAUAUAGAUGCACAAAUCCUGGAACUCUGGAACUGAGAGAGAUCUUAGCAAUCCUUUCAUUCUUAUUUUAUUGAGACAGAGUUUUACUCUGUUGCCCAGGCUGGAGCGCAGUGGCAUGAUCUUGGCUCACUGCAACCUCCACCUCCAGGGUUCAGGUGAUUCUUCUGCCUCAGCCUCCAAGGUGGGCCUCCAAAGUGUUGGGAUUACAGGUGUGAGCCACUGCCCCUGGCUUAGAAAUCUUUUCAUUCUUUCAACAUGAAUCCUGCUCUUAGAAUCACAGAGUACAAGGCUUCCUGGUACAGGUGAGGGAACUGAGGCUCAGAGUUGCCAAUCUGAUUCUGAGGACACAGUGGGCACCCCCCACCAGCACACCUGGCACUUGCUUUGUAGAUUAGUGUCAUUCAGCACAUGUUAGUGGAAAAUAAAAGCAUAAUAUAUACCUA
This is a long non-coding RNA of Chlorocebus sabaeus (green monkey), 1285 nucleotides long. RefSeq lists it as uncharacterized. The record is from RefSeq and is a predicted model, not a curated record. Lineage: Eukaryota; Metazoa; Chordata; Mammalia; Primates; Cercopithecidae.